Molecule: long non-coding RNA, 3631 nt
Organism: Cyprinus carpio carpio
Lineage: Eukaryota; Metazoa; Chordata; Actinopteri; Cypriniformes; Cyprinidae
Source: Ensembl
AUAAUUUUGAUUUUUGGCUGAACUAACCCUUUAAUGCAUAUUCGGUCUUUUACUUGCACCUCUGAAUUUAUCAGGAUUUAGUUUCAAUUUUAGUCCAGCUCCAUGUUCAAUCUGACUCCAAUUUUUAAGUGAUCAUUAAAUUUAGGCAAUGUUUCUAUAAAAAACUGAUCACAAAUGCUGAUUAUGUAGUAAUUUAGAUAUUUUGAUUAUUCUGAACAUCCCGUAUUUUCAAUUAUUUGUUCAUUAGGGAGCCGGUAUUGCACAGAGAACUUAAGCCGGCCGGUCGCAGUCUCUCGGACACAAACUCGUCAGUUCUGAUCUUAGACAGCGGAUGCAGGGUGAAUAUCUACUUUUAAGUUUGCCAUGCUCUGCCUGCUCCAACAAAAAGCAUAGGUUUUGUAUAUUCACGAAAACUGCAAUUUACUAAGGCAGUGAUAGUCAGAAAUCAAAAAGGUCUCAAAUGAUGUGCCCCAUGCUCCAUUCAUUGAGCCUUCUGUAUGAUCUAUCCUGAACACAGAUUUGCGGUAAUACUAGACUCCACUUUAAUCUACUAGAAAUAAUAACAGAGAAAAACUGAAUAAAAUCAAAUAUAACAAUUUAGUAUCAGUCAGGUAAAUAUGUAUUAUGCCAAUUACAUAGCCAAUUCAAAGAUAUCAAAUCAAUACAAGACAUCAAAUUCUCAAAGAUGAAUCUAAGCGUAAGAUGCAUACCUGACUUUUAGAAAAAUACAUAGUUUGAAGGGUGUGGAUAUACUACAUAUUAUGGGCUCAUUCUGGCUGCAGAAUCGCAAAAAUAUGAGAGCACUCGAGUCUGCAGCUUCCAACUUGGGGAUGCACGCACACAGGAAAGGAAGAGUGUUUGAUGUGCACUGGCUGUCUUCAUCCUGAACGUCUGUGCUGGCUCUUUGGGAAAGCAAUCCAGCAUUGCUCAAACUCUUUGAAAAGUUAAGGGAAAACAAACCAAGAUCUGCCACGGAGAGGACCAGAUGUAUAGACAUUCAUGCUAAAAUGACACAAUGGCUUUUUUUGGUGGAGAUGUCAUUGGUAAAAGAUGCGCUGGAGACCCUGAAGGCCUUAUCCCUGUUUCUUCAGUGGAGAGACACCACAGCUGUCAGUGCUAACUCUGCAGUGAGAACACUGCGGUCAAUGAGACAAGCUAAUAAUGUGAACGCAAGAUGCAUGAAUGAAGAAUUUGAAAGUUUCUACACAUUCAAGGGUGUAAAUGUGUCUCAACCAAGUGACGGAGACCAUCGAAUGAAUUUUAAUUUCCCUGGAUGACAAUGGAAUUAUUUCUGCUGCAGUUGCUAUAAAAUCCGUUAAAUUGGCCAUCUGAUGAAGACGAAUGCAUCCUAUAUGGAGAUGACAAACUUCUCACGAUACACAAGACUCACUGUUGCGGACUCAAACAGUCCCAUACUCCGUAAGUAAUUACACAAAUUGAAGUGUCAUGAUGUCACAAGAGAGAAUCUGUGCAAAGUACUCCCCUACUGUCUCUAUGCUUCCAAUCACAACAGCCGAGUGUUGAAGAGGAUCCAGUGCCAUGAACUAUAUUCUCACCGAUGGUAGACACAGAAUGAACGUCCCCACACUAAACAACCUACUAUUUCCAUUUCAGUAAAUAGACCAGGGGUUGCCUCAUUUCCUGCACAAAGAUUUGUGGAGAUGUGGGUGAAAUCAGAUGAUCCUUGCACAGGAAAGUCCGUCAUCAAAGCAGGAUGUUUUCUUAGUCUGACAAAUAAGCAUCACCAGUGUUGGCUGGUGGAACAUUUUUUAGGUAGGGCAUCACGUCCAACAAUUUUAGCAUAGAUCCCAGCAUGAUUUAUCCCAGUAUAACAAAAGGAAAAAUAUUAAGACUUGAAACAAAUGUCUUAAUGUCACUUGAUGAACUUGCUUGAUAGUGAUCAUAAAAGUGUUGAUGCGGAUCCUUAUCAAUAAAAAUGUUGGGUUUCCAGGAAACCAAUAUUUUUUCCAAGUUUUCCGGAAUGCCCAUCAACAGUCUUGAAACAGAAUUGGAGUUAAAAAUCAAAUGCUCAGAUGAGGAGCCUCGUAGCUGACUGCGGUGGUGGAAGCCAUGUUGCUUUUUGGACAGUGCAAUCUGUGCACUACCAAAUAUUGAGGAUGUAUUGUGCUCUUCUACCUGGUGCCAUAAAAUAAAGGCCAAAAUGAAAAUUGGGACAAAAAAACAACAAAUUUAAAACAUGAGGUUAUAGUGCUAAGAAAAGUUUGAAGGAUUGUUUAGGGUAGGGUUUCUUGAUUCUGUCCUGGAGUUUAUUUUGUUUAUUUUUGUCUACCUUAUCUGACACACCAGACCAUUCAGGUCUUGGAGUCUCUACCAGGGUUGCCAGGUUUUCACAACAAAACUAGCCCAAUAAUACCAAAACUCAAAAUAUGACACUCCCAUACGUAAAAUACGUUUUACAUCACUGUAUGCAUUAUACACAGUUUCUUUUUUUUCUUUUUUAAAUCUCUGUAUAUUAGUAUUAUAUAACAUUUUCAUAAAUAAAAUCACCUUACCUGAAGAUUGACAGCUGAUGAACCAAAUCCUUCUGUGGGUUGUGGUAAAUCUUUUUUAGAACUGUCUGAAUGAACUAUUUACAGAUCUUUUCUGAUUCUACUUAUCUUCUUCUUGGUUCUUGUCAUACAUCUCUGCAUCUUUUGAUCAAAUUCAUCUCUGAGAAUGUGCAUUCAACCGCUGCAUUGCUGAAUGAAGAUAAGGUCCAUCUUCUAAGACAAAUUAGAAAAAGUGACAUGGAGAUGGACCUUAUACAGCUUCAAAUGGAAGAGAAAAGACUUUACAUAAAAAAGGCCACACUUGAAAUUGAAUUGCUGGAGCACCGGCUUAAGGAGAUAAAGAAACAAUGAACAACACUUGACAUUGCUGACUUUUUAAAGUUUUUGACAGAUAAUGUCUUUUACCACCCUGCCAUCUCUUUGGUAUACUCUUGGGGUCAUCUUCAUCAAGGGAAGCAGGAGGUCUCUCACCUCUUAUUGUGGCGAUGUUGUGAAGAACAACACAAGCCUCUAUAAUGUUUCAUGUGUUUUGCUGUGAGCCAGGUUGAAUCGUGUCUGUGGUCCAGGCUCAGGUUCAGGAUAGGGUGUCAUCAUAUAGGGCAGACAAGGGUACCCAAGUUACUGGGGAUGGGUAAUGAGUGUGAUUUAAUGGUUACACACUCGAAGAUUUAGCAACCAAAAUGACAUUGUUACCUGCACAUAGAUGCUAUGGAUUGACUUCCUAUUAACAUAGUCCCCUUCAUUGACUGAAAGAGCUUUAAUAGGAAUGUGGGUUCCAUCAAUACACCUAAUCACAUUUGGUAACACUGAAAUAAUUAGAAAAAAAUUCAGAAAAUUUAUGGCUGUGUAUACAGUAUGUAUAUAUGGAUAGAUUAAGUAGUGAAUGUUCUCUGCUACAAUUAUCACAGAAAGGACGAACCCCCACUCUGUGGAAUUCCUCUUUAUGGACUCUCGGGGGUUUUUGGCCAGGGAACUGCACAGCAAGAGAGCAAGGCAUACUGUAUGAACGGCCCUACACACAGCUGUCUUUCCCACAUUCUCCACAUCACCCACAUUAUACAAAAAACUUCCCGUUGCAAAAAAGGGCAAUGGGCAAAAUGUGCUCUGUGUUAAACCCUGAU